RNAcentral lists this ribosomal RNA (387 nucleotides) under uncultured bacterium. RNAcentral describes it as "bacterial SSU rRNA". It matches the Rfam family "Bacterial small subunit ribosomal RNA", at positions 28 to 417 of the family's 1533-position model. The record is from RNAcentral.
GACGAACGCUGGCGGCGUGCUUAACACAUGCAAGUCGAGCGGUAAGGCCCUUUCGGGGGUACACGAGCGGCGAACGGGUGAGUAACACGUGGGUGACCUGCCCUCAGCUCUGGGAUAAGCCCGGGAAACUGGGUCUAAUACCGGAUAUGACUUCAUGACGCAUGUUGUGGAGUGCAAAGCCUUGUGCGGCUGAGGAUGGGCCCGCGGCCUAUCAGCUUGUUGGUGGGGGACGGCCUACCAAGGCGACGACGGGUAGCCGGCCUGAGAGGGCGACCGGCCACACUGGGACUGAGAUACGGCCCAGACUCCUACGGGAGGCAGCAGUGGGGAAUCUUGCGCAAUGGGCGAAAGCCUGACGCAGCGACGCCGCGUGAGGGAUGACGGCCU